ACCAAGGUGGUGUAAUGGUAACAUUCCGAGUUGACACCUGGGGCGGCCUACUGCGCUAAACCAGGCCCUUCGGGGGCGGAGGGAUCCGGGUUCGAUUCCUGGCCUUGGGA
This is a non-coding RNA of Coniochaeta sp. PMI_546, 110 nucleotides long. The record is from the annotation of a GenBank genome assembly. Lineage: Eukaryota; Fungi; Ascomycota; Sordariomycetes; Coniochaetales; Coniochaetaceae.